GGGGAAUAUUGGACCAUGGGCGCAAGCCUGAUCCAGCCAUGUCGCGUGUGUGAAGAAGGUCUUCGGAUUGUAAAGCACUUUAAGUUGGGAGGAAGGGUUGUAGAUUAAUACUCUGCAAUUUUGACGUUACCGACAGAAUAAGCACCGGCUAACUUCGUGCCAGCAGCCGCGGUAAUACGAAGGGUGCAAGCGUUAAUCGGAAUUACUGGGCGUAAAGCGCGCGUAGGUGGUUCGUUAAGUUGGAUGUGAAAGCCCCGGGCUCAACCUGGGAACUGCAUCCAAAACUGGCGAGCUAGAGUACGGUAGAGGGUGGUGGAAUUUCCUGUGUAGCGGUGAAAUGCGUAGAGAUCUGGAGGAAUACCGGUGGCGAAGGCGGCUCCCUGGACGAAGACUGACGCUCAGGCACGAAAGCGUGGGGAGCAAACA
This 426-nucleotide ribosomal RNA is filed under the name uncultured Pseudomonadaceae bacterium. RNAcentral's name for it is "bacterial SSU rRNA". It matches the Rfam family "Bacterial small subunit ribosomal RNA", at positions 356 to 774 of the family's 1533-position model. Lineage: Bacteria; Pseudomonadati; Pseudomonadota; Gammaproteobacteria; Pseudomonadales; Pseudomonadaceae. The record is from RNAcentral.